RNAcentral lists this ribosomal RNA (253 nucleotides) under uncultured bacterium. RNAcentral's name for it is "partial 16S ribosomal RNA". It matches the Rfam family "Bacterial small subunit ribosomal RNA", at positions 524 to 776 of the family's 1533-position model. The record is from RNAcentral.
UACGUAGGGGGCAAGCGUUGUCCGGAUUUAUUGGGCGUAAAGAGCGUGUAGGCGGUUUGGUAGGUCCGCUGUGAAAACUCGAGGCUCAACCUCGAGACGCCGGUGGAAACCAUCAGACUAGAGUCCGGAAGAGGAGAGUGGAAUUCCUGGUGUAGCGGUGAAAUGCGCAGAUAUCAGGAGGAACACCGGUGGCGAAGGCGGGUCUCUGGGCCGAUACUGACACUGAGGAGCGAAAGCGUGGGGAGCGAACAGG